GAAGUCGGAAUUGGUAGUAAUCGCGGAUCAGCAGGCCGCGGUGAAUACGUUCUCGGGUCUUGUACACACCGCCCGUCAAGGCAGUAAAGCCGGUAGUAGCAGAACCUCGAUUGUAUCGGGGGAUGCUAAGAUCGGUGAUAAGGCUUAAGUCGUAACAAGGUAUCCCUAGCCGAAGCUGGGGAUGGAUCACCUCCUUUCUA
RNAcentral lists this ribosomal RNA (200 nucleotides) under Candidatus Levybacteria bacterium RIFCSPLOWO2_12_FULL_40_10. RNAcentral's name for it is "partial 16S ribosomal RNA". It matches the Rfam family "Bacterial small subunit ribosomal RNA", at positions 1322 to 1533 of the family's 1533-position model. The record is from RNAcentral. Lineage: Bacteria; Candidatus Levyibacteriota.